CCUACGGGUGGCAGCAGUAGGGAAUCUUUCACAAUGGGCGAAAGCCUGAUGGAGCAACGCCGCGUGCAGGAUGAAGGCCUUCGGGUUGUAAACUGCUUUUAUAAGCGAGAAAUAUGAUGGUAACUUAUGAAUAAGGAUCGGCUAACUACGUGCCAGCAGCCGCGGUCAUACGUAGGAUCCGAGCAUUAUCCGGAUUUAUUGGGUUUAAAGGGAGCGUAGAUGGGUUGUUAAGUCAGUUGUGAAAGUUUGCGGCUCAACCGUAAAAUUGCAAUUGAUACUGGCAGUCUUGAGUACAGUUGAGGUAGGCGGAAUUCGUGGUGUAGCGGUGAAAUGCUUAGAUAUCACGAAGAACCCCGAUUGCGAAGGCAGCUUACUAAACUAUAACUGACACUGAAGCACGAAAGCGUGGGGAUCAAACAGGAUUAGAUACCCCAGUAGUC
This 440-nucleotide ribosomal RNA is filed under the name uncultured bacterium. Its description in RNAcentral is "partial 16S ribosomal RNA". It matches the Rfam family "Bacterial small subunit ribosomal RNA", at positions 338 to 795 of the family's 1533-position model. The record is from RNAcentral.